AGGACUCAUCAUCUGGAUUUGGAAGC
RNAcentral lists this non-coding RNA (26 nucleotides) under Cricetulus griseus (Chinese hamster). Lineage: Eukaryota; Metazoa; Chordata; Mammalia; Rodentia; Cricetidae. The record is from RNAcentral.